GCGUCGCUCACGCUGGGAGCUGUAGACCGGAGCUGUUCCUAUUUGGCCAUCUUGGCUCCUCCCCCGACAAUUUCUAGAAAAAGUCAUAAGAUCAGCAAGAAGAGAAACUGUAGAUUUGCCUCAACUCAACAUGUUAAGUAAUCGCCUGACAUCUACAUAAGACCACCUCUUGGCACCUGGCUACACAAGCUGAAAUGGUAAAACUCCUUGAGAAACCACACAAGGAUGGAAUACUUGCUUAGAGACAUGAGAGUAGCCUAGAAUCUAAGAAUCUGUACUUCCUUCUACAGUUGUCUUUGGAAAAAGAAUAGACAUUCAUGGCAGACCAAAGAUCACUCUCUGAAGGUGUUAUGUGAGAAAUCCACACAGGAGAAACCCAAGAAAACCACGCAGGUAAAUGCUAGCCUGGAAAGACAGAGGGAAAACAUGCCAAGUGGAGCCCACCACAAGGACAGCAGUCAGAGCCCAAGAGCCCAGCUUUAAAAGGUGAAUGGUUAAACAAAUUGUGGUACAUUCCUACAAUGAAAUACUACUCAGCAAUAAGAAGGAAUAGACUGUUGAUACGUUCAACAAGUUGGGUGAAUCUCAAAGACACUAUGCUGAGUAAAAGAAGCCAUCUCAAAAGGGCUGCAUACCAAAAGGAACAAAAGCACAAAACAAACAAACAAACAAACAAACAAGCAAAUGAUGGUGGAAACUAUUUUCAAAACUUCCCUGUUCUGGUAAAGACGUUUUCAGAGCUCAAACUAGUCCUGCUGAAAAUAUUUUUUAAAAUAUGAAAGCAUAGCGGAAAAUUUGUAUGAAAAAGAAAAAAGAAAAAGAAGGAGGAGGAAGAAGAAGAAGAAAGAAGAAAAAGGAGAGGAAGAAGAAGAAGGAGGAGGAGGAGAAGAAGAGGAGGAGGAGGAGGAGGAAAUGGCAGAGACAAUGUAUGUCCCAGAAAGCCUAAAAUGUGUACUGUUUGUCCGUUUAUAGAAAAAGUGUGCCAGUCCCUACUCUGUUCCCAAUUUUAAAAACAAAUAAAUAAAAAGAAAAACAAGCAAGUCUCUCAGCCAAGAAAGAAUCGAUGGGAACUUUUUCAACUUUAUAAAGUGGAUCUACAAAAAACUACAACUAACACUAACGUCACACCUAAUGGUGAAAGUCUGAAUGUUUUCCCUCUAAGACUAGGAAAAGGUGGCAUGGAUGUCCACUCUCCCUACUCUAUUCAGCAUUGUAUCAAAAGUUCUUAUCAGUGAAAUAAGACAAGAAAACAAUAAAUGGCAUCCAUAUUGGAAAAGAAGUAACACUGUCUUUAUUUGCAGAUGACAUUAUAAUCUAAAUAGAAAAUCUUAUGGAAUCUGCUAAAAAGCUAAUAGAACCAAUAAGCGAGUUUAGCAUAGUUACAAGACACAACAUAUAAAAAUUAAUUAUAUUUCAAAAUACUAGCAAUGAACAAUUAAAUUUUCCUUUUAAAAUUUUCAACAACAUCAAGACAUGAACCACUGGGGGAUAAACCCCAUGAAACAUGGCAGAAAAAAAUUCAGGAA
Molecule: long non-coding RNA, 1526 nt
Filed under: Homo sapiens (human)
Lineage: Eukaryota; Metazoa; Chordata; Mammalia; Primates; Hominidae
Description: HSALNT0125479
Source: RNAcentral